This 253-nucleotide ribosomal RNA is filed under the name uncultured bacterium. Its description in RNAcentral is "partial 16S ribosomal RNA". It matches the Rfam family "Bacterial small subunit ribosomal RNA", at positions 524 to 776 of the family's 1533-position model. The record is from RNAcentral.
UACGGAGGGUGCAAGCGUUAUCCGGAUUCACUGGGUUUAAAGGGUGCGUAGGCGGGCAGGUAAGUCCGUGGUGAAAUCUCUGAGCUUAACUCAGAAACUGCCAUGGAUACUAUUUGUCUUGAAUAUUGUGGAGGUAAGCGGAAUAUGUCAUGUAGCGGUGAAAUGCUUAGAUAUGACAUAGAACACCAAUUGCGAAGGCAGCUUACUACACAGUUAUUGACGCUGAGGCACGAAAGCGUGGGGAGCGAACAGG